GACGAACGCUGGCGGCGUGCUUAACACAUGCAAGUCGAACGCUGAAGACCUGGCUUUUGUUGGGUUGGAUGAGUGGCGAACGGGUGAGUAACACGUGAGUAACCUGCCCUCUUCUUUGGGAUAACGCCCGGAAACGGGUGCUAAUACUGGAUAUUCACUGAUCUUCGCAUGGGGGUUGGUGGAAAGGUUUGUUCUGGUGGGGGAUGGGCUCGCGGCCUAUCAGCUUGUUGGUGGGGUGAUGGCCUACCAAGGCUUUGACGGGUAGCCGGCCUGAGAGGGUGACCGGUCACAUUGGGACUGAGAUGCGGCCCAGACUCCUACGGGAGGCAGCAGUGGGGAAUAUUGCACAAUGGGCGAAAGCCUGAUGCAGCGACGCCGCGUGAGGGAUGGAGGCCUUCGGGUUGUAAACCUCUUUCGCUCAUGGUCAAGCCGCAACUGUGGGUUGUGGUGAGGGUAGUGGGUAAAGAAGCGCCGGCUAACUACGUG
Molecule: ribosomal RNA, 486 nt
Filed under: uncultured bacterium
Lineage: Bacteria
Description: partial 16S ribosomal RNA
Rfam family: Bacterial small subunit ribosomal RNA
Source: RNAcentral